This 465-nucleotide ribosomal RNA is filed under the name Vreelandella stevensii. RNAcentral's name for it is "partial 16S ribosomal RNA". It matches the Rfam family "Bacterial small subunit ribosomal RNA", at positions 338 to 795 of the family's 1533-position model. The record is from RNAcentral. Lineage: Bacteria; Pseudomonadati; Pseudomonadota; Gammaproteobacteria; Oceanospirillales; Halomonadaceae.
CCUACGGGAGGCAGCAGUGGGGAAUAUUGGACAAUGGGGGGAACCCUGAUCCAGCCAUGCCGCGUGUGUGAAGAAGGCCCUCGGGUUGUAAAGCACUUUCAGUGAGGAAGAACGCCUGGUGGUUAAUACCCAUCAGGAAAGACAUCACUCACAGAAGAAGCACCGGCUAACUCCGUGCCAGCAGCCGCGGUAAUACGGAGGGUGCGAGCGUUAAUCGGAAUUACUGGGCGUAAAGCGCGCGUAGGUGGCUUGAUAAGCCGGUUGUGAAAGCCCCGGGCUCAACCUGGGAACGGCAUCCGGAACUGUGAAGCUAGAGUGCAGGAGAGGAAGGUAGAAUUCCCGGUGUAGCGGUGAAAUGCGUAGAGAUCGGGAGGAAUACCAGUGGCGAAGGCGGCCUUCUGGACUGACACUGACACUGAGGUGCGAAAGCGUGGGUAGCAAACAGGAUUAGAUACCCCAGUAGUC